AGCUGGACCCACAACAACAACCUGAAAAUGUCAACAAUGCUGCAGGAAGCGAUCUCAUGCAGCAGAGACGGAGAGCGUUAAAACCAAGGCCCGUUUCACUACACGGGGGAAAAUUCUCAGACAGCUUCAGCUGACAGAGCUGUGACGAGACGCCCGCCAAGCCCGAAUGAAAAGUAAGGCCGAGCAAAGGAAUGCUGACCUUAACAACUCUGCAUUAACACUGUGCAGGACAGUGAUGGACCAACACGGAUGAUCGGGCAGCAAAAAGGGCGUGACCGAGACAGGAGGAGUAACUGAGGUCAGAAGGCACCUCAGAAUGGACAAAAACACAGAAGAAGAUGCAGGUUUCACCUGCGGUGAGCAUGGACACUGGAGAAAGGACUGCCCCAAUUGGGGUCAGAACCAGGAUGGACAGAACUUUGAGCAGCAGCAGCAGCAAUGGUCGCAAACAGACUGAAAAGGAGGAGGGCAGGACCCCAGGGCACGCUUCUGGUGUCUUGUUUUACCCAAGACACCAGAACAGGGAAGUGAUGAACACACACACACACACACACACACGUCUACACACACACCGAUUCAGAAUGAAGUGAAAUACACACAUGAACACAUGUGCACUCGUUGAUUGAGUGAGAAAUGACACACACACACACCUAAAUUGAAAUGCUGAGUCACUGAGAAGUGAUGCACACACAUAUACAUGCACACGCUUGUGCAAUGAAGAGUGAUGCGCACACACACACACACACACACACACAUGCUGAUGCAAUGAAGAAUGCUUUGCUAACAAAUGCUUAUGCUGAUAUGCAAAAUGCUGCACACAAACAUCCCAAUACAUAAUCUUUAUGAGGAGCCAUUGAUUACUUAGAAUGUGUUUUAUGACACCCAGAGGACAUUUAUGUAGAUUUAAGGAAUAAGGUCUAAAACAGUUUGGUUAUGAAAACAGUGUCUGUGCGUGGUGUCUGUUUAUGGCUCAAGGCCUUGAUUGAAUUGUUUAUUGUGCUUCACAUAGCCCUGGGGAGGAACAGUGGCACAGAGUGAAAAUGAUGAAUUAAUGGAGUAAGUUUUAGGUCGGAGUACCGCAUUUUCUGUGAUUGAGAUUUAAUUCAAGGAGGAACGAAAGGUGUUACGGUACCUGAGGUUCUUGUUCCCACACAAUAUUGUCCCAGGAGAAGCAAAAAAAUUUCUGUGAAUUUCUGGUUGAUUUUUGGGUUUUUGCUUGGCGCUAGCUUGAUUUUAUCAGUGAGCUUUGGGUUGUGUUCUUUCUCUAAGAGAGAGACAUGUCCCGUUCUCUAAGAGACGGGACAUGUCCAAGCAUGGCCCUAGUAUGUGUUAUUUUAGUAGUAUUUUGUUGGUUACGUCUGUUUUCGUUUUUGUUACAGUGCACUGAGAUAAGAAAAUCUGAGAGGUAUGAUCCACCGGUGAUAAAUGUUGAUAUUUUGUGAGUCCAUGAUUUAACAAUCAGCUCUUUAAACCAGGCCUGGAAGAUUGAAAUUUAAAGCGCUAUGAAAUAUUCUUACGGAAAACAGUUGCAAAGUGUGUUUCUCCAUGAUUAUAAUGGGCUUGGGAGAAAUUCACUUAUAUGGGACACUGAUCACAUGAGAAGUCCUGAGUCUAAAAGGAUUGCAGCGAGUCAAUCCAGAACAAAAGAACAAAGAAUUGUUUCCUUUUAAAAUGAUGACGUCAUCUUGCUGUGUACCACCACAUGGACUAUUUGGCAGGUUCCUCUGCCAAUGCAGACAUUGCAGGCCGAGCUACAACGUUCAGUGCAUUAUUUCAGAAUAUUCUUUUCAUUACAGCCACUUAUGCAAUUUUUAUUGACUUUAUAUUUUUUAAGAAUCUUGAUCAUCAAUGUUCUAGGUGACUAAAUUUUAUUGUUGUAUCAUACAGGUUAAGAAAUCAAUGGAAGAUGCCACUUCUGUGGCCUUUUACUAUUUUAUUGUAAAUGUGUUCAGUGGCAUUAGUAAGUUUAGCCUCCUACUUCAGAGGAAUGAUAUUAUCCUACCACAGGUAAGGGAGAUGAAGUAGGAUGUGUAAAUUUGAAUUGUGUUUGUGGUCAUCUUCAACUGUUUUAAUAAUACUGCACUGUUAUACCUAAACAGGCUGUUUGCAACCUGGAACAACUGCUGGUGACCACAGAGGAGAUGGUUGCAAGAACAAGACUGUCUGUCGGGAACUGUUUUUAUCAUUUCAUAUUUCAAAACUCAGACUAAUGGUGUCAAAGUCUGAACUUAUUCAUGCUUUUAUUUCUUCCCGUUUAGACUACUGUAAUAGUCUUUUUACUUGUUUUAACAAAUCAUCCUUAAAUCGUCUUCAGACUGUGCAGAAUGCUGCAGCACGUCUCUUAAUCAAGCACCAAGAGAAGGUCUCAUAUUACUCCAGUUUUAGCCUCAUUUCACUGGUUGCCUGUAAGUUUUAGGUUUAAUUUUAAAAUUUUAGUUCUAACCUUUAGGGCCGUACAUGGUCAAGCUCCCCAAUAUUUAUCUGACCUACUGAAAUCGCAUUCAUUUUCCUGAGCUUUAUGGUCAUUAUAUCAGAGACUGCUGGUGGUACCGCGCACUCGUUUUAAAACUCGUGGUGAUUGGGCCUUUCAGACAAGGCAAGGCAAGUUUAUUUGUAUAGCACAAUUCAACAACAAGGUGAUUCAAAGUGCUUAUAGACAGUGGUACUACGGUUGUGGAAUUCUCUUCCACUGUCUCUACGCUGUACAAACUCCAUUGGUUCUUUUAAAAACAGCUGAAGACAUUUUUAUAUAGAAAAGCUUUUGAUUAAUUUGUUCUUACGUUGUUGAUUUUUUUUUUUAUAGAGGAGGCAGCAGCAUGAAGAGGGUGAAAUGGCAAUCUACAAAUUCCAGAGAGUGCUUCUGAGUCAGCCACAACCAAAGCUGUCACUUGCUUCAACAUUUUCAAUCAUGAUAGCUGCCCAGAGAACCAAGAGAUUUAGUGGACCAUGGUGCUGAUGACCUUGCAUUUCUCCUGGAUCACUUCUCCACAGUCAAGAAAAGAAAUGGUGUAAACACAGAGCUUGCAAAAGAAGAGUUUAUAAGUUUGAAGCUGUUAAUUGCCAGGAUGUUUUGGGAGCUCAUGUUGAGCAGAGAGCCGUACUGCUCAGAGUACAAGCUUUGGUAUGUGAAAGAGGGUUCUCUGCACAGAAGAAUUAAAUCAGACACAAGAACAUCCCUUCAUUCAGAGACAGUGGAUGACCUGAUAAGAAUAAGUGUGGAGGGGCCAAGUCUGAAAGAUUUUGAAGCUAGAGAGAGUGUGGCAAGCUGGUUCACCCAAGGCGAAAGAUCAAGAAGGCCAAAUUACAGGAGUUGGCCAUCUGAGGGGCAUGUGGCUGCAAUGGAAGACAGUCCAUAAGAUAUCAAGCUGUUCAGAUAUUGAAAUGUUCAGUGUGAAGCCUUUGACACUUUGAGGGACUUUUGAUUUUUUUUUUUUUUCAACUGAAUAUAUCUUGAGAUGUUUUAAGUUUAAAUUUCAGCUCGGUGAAGCACUUUAAGCACAAGCACAUUUAAAGUUAUCUUUCUUGUAGAACUUUGCUACAAAUAAAGAGCUUUGUGUUGAAAGGUUGUUAGUUAAUCAUUUACAAAUCAAUAUUGUCUGUAUGGACAGCAAAUUUUCUCAUCUCGACCUCCUUCUCCGGUGCCAGCUAUGCAAGUCAAGGACACGGUGGUUGCUCCGCGGCCCUCCCCCAGGGAGCCGGAAUGGGUGUGGGCUCCUGCUGGGCACCAGGCACUUCCACCCUGUCAUGGUCCCCGUGGCAGGCCAUGGCAAUGUGGGGAAUGUUAACACAAUAAAUCCCAGUGCGUUCCCUCAACUCCUGUGUCGUGUCUUCUGCCAAAAGUCCGUGUUUUGUGCUCUCCACUUCUUCGUUUCCGCACACCAGUGAGAGUGGUGGCGGUGUCGGCCAGGACCGGAUCUGAGCUGCCACACUCGCAAUCCACUGCAUCCAGCGUCAUAACAUAACAAAAAUAACCCCAAAAACAGUCCUAUUGAGCUCAAUAUUCCAGUUGUCCUUUUUUGGUCAUUAUUCAGGUCAGGAUUCCUUAUUAGUCCAGUUCUUUUUUUCUUUUUUUUUUCCUUGGUUUUGUGAUUUGUGUGUUACCACUUUGAUGCCUCUCUUAAGGGAGAAGAAUGAGUUCUUCAGCAACAGUUCAGUCUGGGCACAGGUGAUUAGGAAAAGACCUUCAGAAUUUUUUGACAUUUGGAAGAUGUUUUUUGGAACUAUUAAAAAUGGGGAAGUUGACGAAGUGGAGAUAGAGUGAGGUAAUGAAAACUAUGUACAGUAACUAAAUUUGGGAAUGUACACAGUAACCUGUACUGUUUUUGUUUUUUUGUUUGUUUGUUUUUUGAGUGUCUUGUGUUUUUAUUGCUUUUAUCCUGCCAUAUGUGCCAUAGAAUGUAUAUGAAUACAAAAUCCAAUGAAAAAGGUGUUGUUUUUUUUUAAAGCUACACUUUAGCUGUUUGACGUGGCUCAUGGACCAAGUAGCCAUCCAUUUUACCUGAAUCCUUGAAUCUCUCCCUUCCUAAUUAUGUGACUCCCUCUAUUCAGUGGCCAGGGUUCCUAUGGGUCAUUCAGUGGGUUGUUCAGCAGGUUGUAAAAGUGGGCCCAUUCAUUUCUUAUGGCGGUCAUGUUGAACCGGAAACACCACAGAUGUAACAAAGUUGAGUGAAACACUCAAAAUUCAACGAAAGAGGUGCUCAUCACUUUUAUAUGUUCAAGUGCACAGUGUGGAGGAUGUCGUAAGGCUUUGAGGCAAUCGGAUAUAAAACACAAUAAUUAUAAGUUUUGUUAAUUUGUAAAUCAGUCAGAUUUGACCCUAAAAUUGUUUCUUUACAGACCUUUACAGUAAUGUCAUUACUUGUGAAUCAAAAAAUUGCAAAAUCCUGAAAACAUAACAAAGCUAUGUGGCAUGCUGUACCAGCUAGUGUACCAAAGUUUGGUAGAAGAUGCUAACAGGAAGUUUCACAUUAGACAUGAAAACCAAAGACGUGUUUGUGUGCGAUGUGUGCUUAAACCACAACUUGUUCCAUUCACACCAUCUCUGCUUCAGGUGUUUAUUUUGAUCUAUGAUGAAACAAUAUAACACAGAUCUACUGAUAGAAUGUAAGAGAAAGAGAUGUGGUUAAAGUACACAGCAAAAUCUCCAGUGUUAAAUUAACACUAGAGUGUC
This is a long non-coding RNA of Haplochromis burtoni (Burton's mouthbrooder), 5170 nucleotides long. RefSeq lists it as uncharacterized. The transcript is spliced from 4 exons. The record is from RefSeq and is a predicted model, not a curated record. Lineage: Eukaryota; Metazoa; Chordata; Actinopteri; Cichliformes; Cichlidae.